ACGGGACCGAAAUGGCGUAGCGCGCAGUCCACUGCUGCAGCAGCACAGCGGGGCCAGGCUCACCGAACAUCCCAGAGCCUGGCCCGUCGUACUCCAACCGACGAGUAUGAUGGAGGUGACUUUUAGUUCCAGUUCACUUGCUUCGAAACCAGCACGAGAUCACCGGAGACGAACAGUGCCCUUCAUAUGUCAUAUCACGAAGAGAAAGGAACAGUCCUGGAAGGAGCUCAUGACCAGAUAAGAUCGUCAUGUCUUUGUUCUUCAAACUGCUCUCCACCCCGAUAAGUUGACUUUCCUCCAGCGUUAUUUCAGGGAAGUGUAUGUUCAGCAUACCAACUGUCACUGGUCUAUGAAAAUAUCAUCUCUGCACUUUGGAGACGACAACUGAAGUUGUUUUUAUCCAUGAAAGAACCAUAAACUCUUCAUGUGUCCAAAAAAGUUAAGUAACACAAUUGUGCCACAGUGAAGAGACAUCAUCUGGUCAUAUUUGUUAUAAAUAAAUCAAGUGGAGUAUUUAUAUGUUGCAGGUUGUGUUAAAAUUAAGUGAAAAAGGAAAUGGUGAAAGUGCACUUGCUUUGCAGGUUUGGCUGCCAGUCUCUAUGUUUUCCAAGAGAACAUGUAGAGUGAAAUAAACAUGCCAUUUUCAUCCAGUAACAUCCUCAUGGUUAUUAUCCU
Long non-coding RNA from Cyprinus carpio carpio, 675 nucleotides. Lineage: Eukaryota; Metazoa; Chordata; Actinopteri; Cypriniformes; Cyprinidae. The record is from Ensembl.